UGCAAGAUCGAAGUCCAACUUACGAAUAUGUUUGUCAACCUACAAAAUUUCAAGGAAAAAAGAACUCAGAAUAUUAGAAUGUAAGAAAGCUCACGCAAAAGAGAAGGGAUUCGACCAAUAAAGGAGUGGAGUGCGAGAAAUCAAGAAAUCCGAAAAUGAUGCAGACUAUGAUCUUACAGGAUUUAUCAGAUGCUCAAUGAUCCUCAAUAAUCUAGUGUGAAGCCAAAUUGCACAUAAUAUUAUGCACGAUCUAACAUGAUUUUAUUGAUUGCCUAAUAUAAGCGAACUUUAACAGA
Molecule: long non-coding RNA, 296 nt
Organism: Xenia sp. Carnegie-2017
Lineage: Eukaryota; Metazoa; Cnidaria; Anthozoa; Malacalcyonacea; Xeniidae
Exons: 2
Source: RefSeq, a predicted model, not a curated record